AUUCAACCUGAGAGUUUGAUCCUGGCUCAGAACGAACGCUGGCGGCAUGCCUAACACAUGCAAGUCGAACGAGAAGCUAUCUUCGGAUAGUGGAAAGUGGCGCACGGGUGAGUAACGCGUGGGAACCUGCCCUGAGGUUCGGAAUAACGAUUGGAAACGAUCGCUAAUACCGGAUGAGCCCUGAGGGGGAAAGAUUUAUCGCCUUGGGAGGGGCCCGCGUCCGAUUAGCUUGUUGGUGUGGUAACGGCGCACCAAGGCUUCGAUCGGUAGCUGGUCUGAGAGGAUGAUCAGCCACACUGGGACUGAGACACGGCCCAGACUCCUACGGGAGGCAGCAGUGGGGAAUAUUGG
RNAcentral lists this ribosomal RNA (351 nucleotides) under Rhodospirillaceae bacterium. Its description in RNAcentral is "bacterial SSU rRNA". It matches the Rfam family "Bacterial small subunit ribosomal RNA", at positions 1 to 367 of the family's 1533-position model. The record is from RNAcentral. Lineage: Bacteria; Pseudomonadati; Pseudomonadota; Alphaproteobacteria; Rhodospirillales; Rhodospirillaceae. RNAcentral also lists the same sequence under 1 other name.